CCUACGGGGGGCUGCAGUCGAGAAUUAUUCACAAUGGGGGAAACCCUGAUGGUGCGACGCCGCGUGGGGGAAUGAAGGUCUUCGGAUUGUAAACCCCUGUCAUGUGGGAGCAAAUUAAAAAGAUAGUACCACAAGAGGAAGAGACGGCUAACUCUGUGCCAGCAGCCGCGGUCAUACAGAGGUCUCAAGCGUUGUUCGGAAUCACUGGGCGUAAGGCGUGCGGAGGCUGUUUGAUAAGUCGUGUGUGAAAGGCCCGGGCUCAAGCCCCGGAUGGCCCAUGAUACUGCGCGACUAGAGUAAUGGAGGGGGAGCCGGAAUGCAUGGUGUAGCAGUGAAAUGCUUAGAUAUCG
RNAcentral lists this ribosomal RNA (350 nucleotides) under uncultured bacterium. RNAcentral describes it as "partial 16S ribosomal RNA". It matches the Rfam family "Bacterial small subunit ribosomal RNA", at positions 338 to 699 of the family's 1533-position model. The record is from RNAcentral.